This 921-nucleotide unclassified non-coding RNA is filed under the name Leishmania donovani. RNAcentral's name for it is "gene:unknown". Lineage: Eukaryota; Euglenozoa; Kinetoplastea; Trypanosomatida; Trypanosomatidae. The record is from RNAcentral.
AUACGCGACACGCGACAGCGCAUCGCAUGCUCGAAUCGAGCCGAGCAGCCAAGGUCCUAACAACCUCACCGCCCUCGGUCACUCGAUCACUAGCGAGGCAACACCAUCUACCAAGCCAGAUGUAGCCUCUUCUCCUCUCACAGAAGUAGAGAGAGAGAGGAUGCGCUGGUGGAGAACGACGACAUGCAACGCCACUUCCUCCGUUGCACCCGUGCUGAUGUGUGAUGUGUAGCGUCCCCGUUCAAACUAUGCACCCCUCACCGUACUCUUCUUCUAUUCUCACCUAUGCACGCUCUCUGUCUCCUCGAUGCUCCGUUGCUCCACGAGCUUAUACACGCGUGCGAUGAUGCAUCUGUGCAGUGCGUUGUCGCCAUCUCCUCCCCGUGCCCUGGGGGAAGCCCUGAAGUCGCUCCGAUGCAUGGAGUGAAGCUAUUCUCUCACGAUCCUGUGAGCGUGCCGUCUGCUUCCGUGGAACGUAUCUCGCCCAUAGCGCUGUAAGGCAUGCUGGCAUCGGGACUUCAUGGAUGACGAUCUGUGAUUCUCAUCGUUGUUGAUUCUUUUUACCUUCCUUCGUACUCGCCAUAGCGCAUGCGCGCUCUCUUACAGCUUGCACAUCUGCUCGGACGCGGGCCUUUCAUCGCUGGUCGUUGCGGUCACCGUGUAGGCACGAAGCCGCAACCAUUUUCUUCAAGAUUUUUUUUAUGUUGCGCUGAACUCAUCUCCGCUCAUGUGACAACGUGUCCAUGCUCCCCCCCCACCUCUCCCCUCCCCUCCCCUCCUCCGGUUUACUCCGUGAGACCGGCAAUGCUUUUUGCGCGCUGGCUUUCGUGUUUGUGGUGCAUCCUCUUCCCUUCACGCUCCCCCUGGGAGCGCGCGCGUGGUGUGGAGGCCGACUGUGCGCACUUUUCUCGCAUUCCCUCG